CCCUUAGACGUUCUGGGCCGCACGCGCGCUACACUGACGAAGGCAACGAGCUUUCCUUUACCGAAAGGUACGGGUAAUCUUUUGAAACUUCGUCGUGCUGGGGAUAGAUCCUUGCAAUUUUUGAUCUUAAACGAGGAAUUCCUAGUAAGCGCAAGUCAUCAACUUGCGUUGAUUACGUCCCUGCCCUUUGUACACACCGCCCGUCGCUACUACCGAUUGAAUGGUUUAGUGAGGCCUUCGGAUCCGCGACUCGUUUUGUGGAGAAGUUGGACAAACCCAGUCAUUUAGAGGAGGUAAAAGUCGUAACA
RNAcentral lists this ribosomal RNA (308 nucleotides) under uncultured eukaryote. RNAcentral describes it as "partial 18S ribosomal RNA". It matches the Rfam family "Eukaryotic small subunit ribosomal RNA", at positions 1470 to 1796 of the family's 1831-position model. The record is from RNAcentral.